RNAcentral lists this ribosomal RNA (253 nucleotides) under uncultured bacterium. Its description in RNAcentral is "partial 16S ribosomal RNA". It matches the Rfam family "Bacterial small subunit ribosomal RNA", at positions 524 to 776 of the family's 1533-position model. The record is from RNAcentral.
GACGUAGGGUGCGAGCGUUGUCCGGAUUUAUUGGGCGUAAAGAGCUCGUAGGCGGCUCGUCGCGUCGACCGUGAAAACCCGCGGCUUAACUGCGGGCUUGCGGUUGAUACGGGCGGGCUAGAGUUCGGUAGGGGAGACUGGAAUUCCUGGUGUAGCGGUGAAAUGCGCAGAUAUCAGGAGGAACACCGGUGGCGAAGGCGGGUCUCUGGGCCGAUACUGACGCUGAGGAGCGAAAGCGUGGGGAGUGAACAGG